This 477-nucleotide ribosomal RNA is filed under the name uncultured bacterium. Its description in RNAcentral is "partial 16S ribosomal RNA". It matches the Rfam family "Bacterial small subunit ribosomal RNA", at positions 28 to 522 of the family's 1533-position model. The record is from RNAcentral.
GACGAACGCUGGCGGCGUGCUUAACACAUGCGAGUCGAGCGGUAAGGCCCUUCGGGGUACACGAGUGGCGAACGGGUGAGUAACACGUGGGUGAUCUGCCCCGCACUUCGGGAUAAGCCUGGGAAACUGGGUCUAAUACCGGAUAGGACCACUGCCUGCAUGGGUGGUGGUGGAAAGCUUUUGCGGUGUGGGAUGGGCCCGCGGCCUAGCAGCUUGUUGGUGGGGUGAUGGCCUACCAAGGCGACGACGGGUAGCCGGCCUGAGAGGGUGACCGGCCACACUGGGGCUGAGAUACGGCCCAGACUCCUACGGGAGGCAGCAGUGGGGAAUAUUGCACAAUGGGCGCAAGCCUGAUGCAGCGACGCCGCGUGAGGGAUGACGGCCUUCGGGUUGUAAACCUCUUUCAGCACCGACGAAGCGCAAGUGACGGUAGGUGCAGAAGAAGGACCGGCCAACUACGUGCCAGCAGCCGCGUAA